GACGAACGCUGGCGGCGUGCUUAACACAUGCAAGUCGAACGGAAAGGCCCUGCUUUUGUGGGGUGCUCGAGUGGCGAACGGGUGAGUAACACGUGAGUAACCUGCCCUUGACUUUGGGAUAACUUCAGGAAACUGGGGCUAAUACCGGAUAGGAGCUCCUGCUGCAUGGUGGGGGUUGGAAAGUUUGGGCGGUUGGGGAUGGACUCGCGGCUUAUCAGCUUGUUGGUGGGGUAGUGGCUUACCAAGGCUUUGACGGGUAGCAGGCCUGAGAGGGUGACCGGCCACAUUAAGACAGAGAUACAGCCCAGACUCCUACGGGCGGCAGCAGUGGGGAAUAUUGCACAAUGGGCGGAAGCCUGAUGCAGCAACUCCGCGUGCGGGAUCACGGCCUUCGGGUUGUAAACCGCUUUCGCCUGUGACGAAGCGUGAGUGACGGUAAUGGGUAAAGAAGCACCGGCUAACUACGUG
This 468-nucleotide ribosomal RNA is filed under the name uncultured bacterium. RNAcentral describes it as "partial 16S ribosomal RNA". It matches the Rfam family "Bacterial small subunit ribosomal RNA", at positions 28 to 507 of the family's 1533-position model. The record is from RNAcentral.